CGCGAUUCGCCCUUCGGGGUGCAGCAGGCGCGAAAACUUUGCAAUACACGAAAGUGUGACAGGGUCAUCCCGAGUGCCGACCGCUGAGGUUGGCUUUUACCCAGUCUAGAAAGCUGGGGGAAUAAGGAGAGGGCAAGUCUGGUGUCAGCCGCCGCGGUAACACCAGCUCUCCGAGUGGUGUGGACGUUUAUUGGGCCUAAAGCAUCCGUAGCUGGCUGAACAAGUCCCCUGUUAAACCCACCGAUUUAAUCGUUGGUCUGCGGGGGAUACUGCUCGGCUAGGGGACGAGAGAGGCAGACGGUAUUCCCGGGGUAGGGGUGAAGUCCUAUAAUCCCGAGAAGACCACCAGUGGCGAAGGCUGUCUGCUAGAACGCGCCCGACGGUGAGGGAUGAAAGCUGGGGGAGCGAACCGGAUUAGACACCCGGGUAGUCCCAGCUGUAAACGAUGCAGACUAGGUGUUUGGACGGCCACGUGCCGUUCUAGUGCCGCAGGGAAGCUGUUAAGUCUGCCGCCUGGGGAGUACGAUCGCAAGAUUGAAACUUAAAGGAAUUGGCGGGGGAGCAC
Molecule: ribosomal RNA, 565 nt
Filed under: uncultured archaeon
Lineage: Archaea
Description: bacterial SSU rRNA
Rfam family: Archaeal small subunit ribosomal RNA
Source: RNAcentral